UUAGCCCUUUUCCCUCCAUAUGGCAGGUGCCUCCUCCAGAACUGCCUGGCUCUCAGCCACAAAAGCCUCUUGAAAUAGAGGGUUUCAGGAGCCUUCUCCUUCAACCGUUCCUUAGCCUUGCUCUAGCUGCCAGUGACGCUGAGAUCACAGCCAACCAUCCACCAUGAAGGCCUUCCUCCUGCUCUUUGCUGUUGCUUUCUUGGUUUCCAAGCUGAAAGCUGAGCCAAAUCCAGAGGCAGCACCAGAACCUCAAGGUGAUGCUCCAAUGGGAGCAGCUGCCAGCAGUGGAGGUGGUAAAGAGGAGUGUACCAGGAUGGGGGGCUCGUGUCACCAAACGUUUUGCGGCUAUGGAAUGCAUCGUGUCGGAAACUGUUUCCCAGGUGUGCCCUGCUGUGUUUCAAUCUAGGAAGGAACCAACGUUGUGGAGACACCGGGAAGCCUUGACAGAGAGUGGCUACAUCAGGGGAAGAAACAACUCACAACCAAUCAUUUCUCAACUCUUGUCACUUCUCUUUCACUUUCAUUAAAAUUGACAUUGCAUCUAUUUCACUGAGUAUGUCGUAUUUCACUGUAGUCGAUGGCACCCUUGUCACCCAUUUUCAUCAAUAAGGAUAAACUA
RNAcentral lists this long non-coding RNA (619 nucleotides) under Pogona vitticeps (central bearded dragon). RNAcentral's name for it is "lncRNA (ENSPVIG00000007557.1)". Lineage: Eukaryota; Metazoa; Chordata; Lepidosauria; Squamata; Agamidae. The record is from RNAcentral.